GGCCAUGACUGUACCAUCCUGAAGAAUCCUGAUCCCAUCUGAUUUCAGAACCUAAACAGGGCUGGGCCUGGUCACACUUUGAUGAGAGACCUCCAGGCAAAACCAUGUGUUGUGUUGG
This 118-nucleotide ribosomal RNA is filed under the name Pogona vitticeps (central bearded dragon). Lineage: Eukaryota; Metazoa; Chordata; Lepidosauria; Squamata; Agamidae. The record is from RNAcentral.